Molecule: long non-coding RNA, 420 nt
Organism: Talpa occidentalis (Iberian mole)
Lineage: Eukaryota; Metazoa; Chordata; Mammalia; Eulipotyphla; Talpidae
Exons: 3
Source: RefSeq, a predicted model, not a curated record
AGCAGGAUCCGCCUCUGGCGCUCGGCAGCCAACUGGAAGAUUAUACUGACUCAUGGUUGGGUCUACGAUGUCGCCGGGACAGGAAACAGGAUGAGAUAUUUGAAAACGAAGAGGAGAAAUCCUUCUUGAUGCUCUCUUGAAUUACCUAUGGAACAAGCUUCUACAAGGAUAAAAAGCCCAAAGAUAAAGCAGCACGAGGGGAGCCAGAGCUAUCAGCGGCAAAGACAGAAACAGAAGCUUACCUCCUUCUCUGUGUCGAAGAUCUCACCUUCCUGGUGUCGGGGCUUACGCAGCUUCUUCUUCUUGAAGUAAGCAUCAGUGAGAUGUUUGGGGAUCUUCACACCACUGAUGUCAAUUUUGGUAGAAGUGGCAAUGACAAAUUUCUGGUGUGUCCUACGCAGAGGAACUCGAUUGAGGGAC